UCGAAGAUGUGGUUUGCGAGUGCCCAUGGCAGGAUUCCCACUGCGGAGACUCCUGUACAUCGGGUAUGAGGCAGCACAUUGCGUGCAAUGCAUUCUGGUCUUUUUUCCUCCCUCCAGAAGAGGCUCCAUUUAUGUGUUAGGCUUUAAGAGGCUGGGCGUACCAAAAGGAAGUCUCUGAAACGCAGUCCUGUCGAACACCUCUGGAGUUGAUUCUUCUGAUAUCACAGGAGUUCUUCCUAUCACUGUAUAUUAUUGGGUGCGAGCCCCCGGUCCUUCCUCUAUGAGGAGGCAGUGGAGGGAAGAGUUGAACCUCUUCUCGCACACACACCUGAGACUCCCUGGCUCUCUCUGUGGGCCACAGGAUGGGCUUCAGUUAUGGCGAGUAAUAAUUUUGUUAUCGCGGUUUUUACAUUGAUUUGGAACAUGGUGUUACACAAAAUGCUGAAAUUGAAAAAGACAGGAUGAGUCACCUUUGCCCUGUCUCCUCUUCAAGUCUGAUCCUAAUUGAACGGAGAGUGCAAACUGCACGCCAAGAUUUGCAGAACAAAGGCCUCCCCGCCCACGAGUUCCUCAUGGCCUUGCCUCAGUCCCCGAAAUCCCGCUGUUAGCCUCCCUCACUAGAAUAAGGCAUUAGCACAGAAGCCAACGUUGGGGGAAAAGAAAAUCAAUACAGCGUGGAAGAGAAAGCAGGAAGCCAUGGAGGGAGGAAGAGACUGAGGCUCCGGCUGGAAGGACUUCGUUUGUGAUAAGAGCAGAGAGGAAAAGCAGCAAGAAAGAAAAGUCGCUGUACACUUUGGGUCUGGACAUCAAAGAAACAAAGGAAAUGCUUAGAUUCAGAGUGGCACGUGUGUAGAAAAAAGUCCUGCUUUCCUGUCUUGGGGGACACCACUAUCAUCCCAUGUAAGUGACCAGUGCUCCCCAAGUGGCCCUCUCCUGGCAUUUCACUGAGACACAAGCUCCCUGAAAGCUGGGGCUUACCUGACCAUGUGCCCCCUGCACUCCCAGGGCUGAGACCUGCGUCUGGUCCCUGCUAGACACCCAGCGAGGGUUGACAGCAUGAGCGAAUGAGCUUCUCCGUCUGCCCGUAAGUGUGAUGGACACCUUCUCCUACAGCCACCCGUUUCACACAUCAGGCAAACGUCUGUCAAGUCCACUCCUGAAAAUCCUGGUAUUUUCUCUACUUCUCUAUGAUAAUUUUAAUGUUUCCUUGAGGCAGUAUUCUUGCACCGGAAAGCAGCAUGAAUGAGGACUUGGAAAGCCCCCGCUUGCCUACGAAGGCGUCAUGGAAGGAUGUGGCAUUGGACAGGUGAUGCAGUCACAGCCUCGCCCUAGGCCACUCCGGGUCUCUGCUGCCAGGCUACGAGGAGCAGAGAAACACAGGUCCUCUAGCGCAGAGAGUGAGCCUGACCUUUGAAGAUUUGAAGCCAGUUAUUGACUUCUCUCCAGCCAUGAAAGUCCUAGAAGGCAUCUUCUUCCAAUAGAAGGCUGUUUGGUCUACACUGAAAGUCUGUUGUUUAGUGGAGCCAUCUUCAUUGACGGUCUUAGCUAGAUCUUCUAAAGAACUUGCUGCAGCUUCUCCAUGAGCACUUGUUAUUUCACCUUACACUUUUAUGUUAUGGAGACGGCUUCCUUCCUUAAACCUCAUGAACCAACCUCUGCCAGCUUCAAACUUUUCUUUUGCAGCUUCCUUACCUCCCUUGGCCUUCACAGAAUUGAAGAGAGUUAGGGCCUUGCUCUGGAUUAGGCUGUGGCUGCAGGGAAUGUUGUGGCUGGCUUGAUCUUCUAUCCAAAGCACUAAAUCUCGCUCCAUAUCAGCAAGGAGCUUGUGUCACUUUCUUAGCAGUUGUGUGUUCACUGGCAUAGCACUUUUAAUUUCCUUCAAAAACUUUUCCUUUUUAUUCACAACUUGGCUAACUGGCACAAGAGGCCCAGCUUUCAGCCUAUCUUGGCUUUCACCAUGGCUUCCUCACUAAGCUUAAUCAUUUCUAGCUUUUGAUUGAAACUGAAAGAUAAUGUGACCCUUCUUUUACUUGAACACUUACAGGCUGUGGUUGGGUUUCAAUGUUGUUGAAACCCAACAUUGUUUUUGUGUCUCAGGGAAUGGGGAGGCCCCAGGAGAGGGAGGGAGACCAGAAACGGCCAAUCAGUGGAGCAGUCAGAACACACACAACGUUUAUCCAUUAAGUUCAUCAUCUUAUAUGGUGCCGUUCAUGGCACCCCACGACAAUUCCAAGAAUAACAUCAAAGAUCACUGAUCACAGAUCACCAUGAGAGAUAUCAUAAUAAUGACAAGGUUUGAAAUAUUGUGAAAAUUACCAAAGCGUGACACAGGACAAAAGCGAGCAUGUGCUAUUGGGAAAAUGGUGCUGAUAGACUUGCUUGACACAGGGUUGCCACAAACCUUCAAUUUGCAAAAACGCACUCUCUGUGAAGCACGAUAAAGUGGGCUACAAGAAAAUGAGGUCUGCCUGCCUCUGUGCGCUGUACAUGAAAACAAGCCUAAUUUUCAAGAGACCUUGGCAGUGGCUGUUUGUUUUUGUGACUGUUGAGGUUUUUUUGUUUUUGAGUUUCAUCUUGUUUUUAAAU
This 2586-nucleotide long non-coding RNA is filed under the name Homo sapiens (human). Its description in RNAcentral is "HSALNT0344392". The record is from RNAcentral. Lineage: Eukaryota; Metazoa; Chordata; Mammalia; Primates; Hominidae.